CCUACGGGAGGCAGCAGUGAGGAAUAUUGGUCAAUGGGAGGAAUCCUGAACCAGCCAUGCCGCGUGCAGGACGACGGCUCUACGAGUUGUAAACUGCUUUUGUACCGGGGUAAAAUGCCUUACGUGUAGGGUUUUGAAAGUACGGUACGAAUAAGGAUCGGCUAACUCCGUGCCAGCAGCCGCGGUAAUACGGAGGAUCCGAGCGUUAUCCGGAUUCAUUGGGUUUAAAGGGUGCGUAGGUUGUUUUAUAAGUUAGCGGUGAAAUACCGAUGCUCAACAUCGGGGCUGCCGCUAAUACUGUAGGACUAGAGAUCGGAUGCAGCAGGCGGAAUGUGUAGUGUAGCGGUGAAAUGCAUAGAUAUUACACAGAACACCGAUUGCGAAGGCAGCAAUCUGGCUGGAAACUGACGCUGGGGUGCGAAAGCGUGGGGAGCAAACAGGAUUAGAUACCCGAGUAGUC
This 460-nucleotide ribosomal RNA is filed under the name uncultured bacterium. RNAcentral's name for it is "partial 16S ribosomal RNA". It matches the Rfam family "Bacterial small subunit ribosomal RNA", at positions 338 to 795 of the family's 1533-position model. The record is from RNAcentral.